GCAAGUCGAGCGAGAAAGCCCUUCGGGGUGAGUACAGCGGCGGACGGGUGAGUAACGCGUAGGAAUCUACCUAGUAGUGGGGGACAACUCGUGGAAACGCGAGCUAAUACCGCAUACGCCCUACGGGGGAAAGCGGGGGAUCUUCGGACCUCGUGCUAUUAGAUGAGCCUGCGUAAGAUUAGCUAGUUGGUGGGGUAAUGGCCUACCAAGGCGACGAUCUUUAGCUGGUCUGAGAGGAUGAUCAGCCACACCGGGACUGAGACACGGCCCGGACUCCUACGGGAGGCAGCAGUCGGGAAUAUUGCGCAAUGGGCGAAAGCCUGACGCAGCCAUGCCGCGUGUGUGAAGAAGGCCCUAGGGUUGUAAAGCACUUUCAAUUGGGAGGAAAAGCUAAUGGUUAAUAGCCAUUAGCCCUGACGUUACCUUUAGAAGAAGCACCGGCUAACUCCGUGCCAGCAGCCGCGGUAAUACGGAGGGUGCAAGCGUUAAUCGGAAUUACUGGGCGUAAAGCGCGCGUAGGCGGUUUUUUAAGUCGGAUGUGAAAGCCCCGGGCUCAACCUGGGAAUUGCAUCCGAUACUGGAUAACUAGAAUGCGGGAGAGGGAGGUAGGAUUCCAUGUGUAGCAGUGAAAUGUGUAGAUAUGUGGAGGAAUACCAGUGGCGAAGGCGGCCUCCUGGCUCGACAUUGACGCUGAGGUGCGAAAGCGUGGGGAG
RNAcentral lists this ribosomal RNA (713 nucleotides) under uncultured marine bacterium. RNAcentral describes it as "bacterial SSU rRNA". It matches the Rfam family "Bacterial small subunit ribosomal RNA", at positions 57 to 768 of the family's 1533-position model. The record is from RNAcentral.